Molecule: ribosomal RNA, 301 nt
Filed under: uncultured bacterium
Lineage: Bacteria
Description: partial 16S ribosomal RNA
Rfam family: Bacterial small subunit ribosomal RNA
Source: RNAcentral
CAGCCGCCGCGGUAAUGCGAAGGGGGCUAGCGUUGCUCGGAAUGACUGGGCGUAAAGGGCGCGUAGGCGGAUGGCACAGUCAGAUGUGAAAUUCCCGGGCUUAACCUGGGGGCUGCAUUUGAUACGUGUUGUCUAGAGUGAGGAAGAGGGUUAUGGAAUUCCCAGUGUAGAGGUGAAAUUCGUAGAUAUUGGGAAGAACACCGGUGGCGAAGGCGGCGACCUGGUCCUUGACUGACGCUGAGGCGCGAAAGCGUGGGGAGCAAACAGGAUUAGAUACCCCUGUAGUCCCUGUCUCUUAUAC